AGGAAUGAAAUACAUUUUAAAGUAUGAAAAGUGAAUUUUAAAAAGUAUUUUAAAAAGUGAAUGAAAACUUAUUUUCAAUUAAAAAUAUAUAUAUUUUACAAUAUUAAUGUUUUGUACUGUAAAUUUGAUCAAAUUAAUAUAGCCUUGGUGAGCAGAAGAGAUUUCUUUUGAAAAAAAAACAAAGAUUCCAGAUUUUUGACUGGUUGUGUACAUACAUUAGCAACAUUAACACGGCACGAUCCUCCCUUUCAGCUGCCGGAGAAGGAUAUUGACAGUGCAGGCUCAGGAUGGCGAAGAGGAGGAAGAACACCUUUAACAUAAUUUUCUCAUAUCUUUGCCAUGUGUUAUAAUAAAAACAAUAAACCUGACUACAAUAAUAUGGUAAAUUUUAUUAAAAGAUUCCAGUUUGCAAGAAAUCUCUGACUCUGCACUAGAGGAACUCUUUGCUGAAGAAGACCAAGUGCUGAGGAGGAGCCUUGUUCUACAGCAAAACACUAUCAACCCUCCAUGAAAAGAUGAAGAGUGAAGAGUCUCCCUCCUGUCCUUCCCCCAGAAGAGUCUGCCUUCUGCUGUGGGGUAAGAACGACACUCUUCCUCUUCUCUCGCAGCCGUCCAGCACCUAACUCUGCCUCCUCAGCACUGUCUGAAAGAGUCUUCUCCACAGUCAGUAAUCAGAGAUCACACAUUCUCCAGAGAAACUCAACAUGCUCAUUUUCCUAAACAAAAACUGUUUAUGUUUUUUGGGGUCGGCCAAAUUAUGCUAUAAUUAUUAGGAGUGAUGCUAGAAAUCUUUAUAUUCUUCAUUUUACAUAUCUUUACUCUUUAUGAAUGUUAUUUUCUUUAUUUCUUUUAUCUUCCAAGAAGCUCAAGAACUAUGGUUCUUUGGUAAUUGUAAUAUUGUUUAGGUUUAUCUUCUGAUAGUGAAGCACUAUUAAAGCACAUCACCACCAGAUAUUUGUAGCAGGUACCUCAUAUAGGAUAAUCCGGAAACAAUUUAACGUAAUUCUGCAAAGUAGUAGUAAUGAAGUAUCUACUGAAUUGUUUCAUAUCUUUUUAUCAUGUCUUUAUUUUUUUUGCACCAAAUUAAGGGAGUUGUAUCAAUAAGAGUACUGAUAAUUAUUGAUAAUUUUCACUGAUAACAGCAUUAUUUAACUAUGCACAUCCUUAAUGAGACACAAACUUUUUCAGUUGAUUAUAUUGUGCAAUCUAUGAAUUGAUGUGCACUUUGCAUGGUUAAAGAACAGGUGUAAUGUUCGAAAUGUUUUGGUUUAGUAUUUGUAGAAAGUAGCACUGAAUAAAUGUUGAUUCAUGAAUGCAUUGUGUUUUUGUCUAUUUUCUAUUAGAAUUUAAUGUUCUUGAAUUGGUUUGCACUGCAUGUAUGUAAUGAAUGUAUUUACUAUAAAUCCCUUAUAGACGGUCUGUGUUUGUUUAUCGGUCUUGUUAGUGGCGCCGGCUACAAACACAGUUAAAGUUAAAGUGAUGAGUAAUGAAGUUGGGCUCAGGUUGUUGUGCUGUGGCAUGUGUUUCCCAUACAUUUGUUUAUUUGUGGCGACCCGCCACGAUAUCAAAACUGACCGAUUUUCCAAAAGGCUUCGUUGAAUAAACAUGAGCACAUAGCGCACGUUUAAAAAUCAAAACGAGGCGCAGGUGUUUUUAUAUCACUGUAUUUCUGAAGGAACACUGUCUUUAGAAAAUGUUUGAUGUCAUUUUCAUUUCAUCUUGCAUGUUAUAUGCCUGAUUAAGCAGCCUUUGUAAGCUCAGCACUGCUUGUGUACAGCCCAACAGCCGUUUCCGGGGGAAACCUCUAGUUCUCCGGCUUUAAAGCGCCUCCUGCUGGCAGAGAAUGAAUUUGCAUUUUUAAUAAGUCCGUCCAAGUAGUUAUCGCUGAAUCUCAGUCCGUCUGAUUUACACAGCAAACAUAUUUUGUUUGUUAUCAAAACGUAAUCUACUCUAGAGGGACUUAGCUGUUGUUACUGAUUGUAUUUGGAUGUCUACCGGAAGUUAAGUUUGGGCCACAAAAGCGCGCAUGCGCAGUAACGUUUGUUUAUGUUGUUGCCGUUGAAACCGUCUAUAAUUAAAUUACUGUUAGAUUUUAUAAGGUUUCUUUUUUGCACCAAAGAUGAGUUUAUUAGUUCUAUAUGCAUUUCAAAGUAAUGGUCAGAACACAUUCUCAAGACCCGUAUAUGGUCCGGUCCAGUUACGUCGUCACAACGUAACUGUGUUAGCUGGGUCGCUUCACUGCUGCAAUCCAGGAGCGUUUCUCGGAAAUCUAACCCUUUAAUUUCCGAUUAUUUAUAAGUGAAAUGUUAGUUCCAGCCCAGAGGGAGCACCCAACCACUGAGCAAUAAGGAUCUCAAUUUUAAUUUUGACAAUUUAAACAGCAGGAUUAAAUUAAUUAUUGCAAUCCUACUGUGUAUCAAGUGCCUUGCGUUCGAACAUUAACCGGAAACGUCCGAGGACCAAAGACGUCACUUCCUUAAACAGCCGAAUAGCCGUUGAAAUGGUCUAUAUAUUAACUGUUGGUAAGCUGACAAGAAAAGUUAUUUAGGAAAAUUAUUAUUUUAGUUAUUGCAUUUAAGACUGCUAUACCACGUGCAGCUAAAAACAAAAACAACAACAACAACAAAAAAAAAAAAAAAGAAAGAAAAACAAAUUGUGUAAUAGCCGCAUUAGGAGACAGGCUACAGCAAGUGUAGAUCAAAUGAGCACAUGAUCGAAUGACAUCACUUUAGGGCACACAGCAUGUAUCCAUGGCAACGCUCAGCUGCUUAGUGACCGUUAAACGGUUCUCCCGAUGAUUUCCUCAGACACGGCCUUGAGUUUUAGCCUUCAUCGGUCGAAAAGUUUACCAUAGACGUCGCCCUACCCUGCUCAUAUGGUAUUAAUUUGUGCAGGUCUUAAAAAGUCUUAAAUUGGAGCUUAAAAAUCCUGCAGCAACCCUGGUUAUGAAACAACUGGAAGACUUGCCUUCGGACUAAACCCACAGCUGACAACCAGAGACGCAGACGCAGACACACACACACACACACACACACACACGGAAAGAGAACCGCAACUUUACAAUUGUUCAAUUUAAAAUAAACGUAUUUUGCUCCAUACAACGUGUCUGUUGUCUUUGGUUAGCCUAAAAGUAAAAUAAAAUGACAUUCAGAGUACUUAAAGCAAACGUCCCCUAAACGUCCCGAAUGGCCGCUGCACGUCCCGUGAACGUCCUCGUGAACGUUUAGGGGACGCCCUGGGGACCUUUUUUUGUUAGCUGGGGCGACACUCAAAUCUGCUGCUAUAAAACACAUGACAAUUAGAUACAACCUGAAAACUGUAACAGUACACCUGUAAAUAGUAACAGUGUAGUAAUACUGGCCAAUAGACUGUAGAACAAGAAAACUUCAUUUCUAAACAGCAUUUGUUAACAUUUAUAACGUCAUAAACAUGAAAGCAAUACAAACGGGUACAAAUCAGGUUGGCUGAAGGAGACAAUAUACUGCAGAUAUACAUAUGACUAGAAAAACAGAAAUUACACUUUCACUCGACUCAUAUUACAAUUAUCAGAAAUUUUAAGACCGGCACAAUGACCACAUGCACUCGUUCCCGCUCGAGGAAAUUCAAUACAUUUAAAAUGACCUCAACAACCGUGUUAAAUAUACAUUAUAUACUCAUGUUCAAAUACGGCAAUUCAAUCAAUUACGUCGAAAAUAUUCACAUAAAACAUAUUUCCACAAUUAAUACGUUAAUGAGUUAGAGCGUGGAAAAUCGUAUACCCACAGCAGCGACACUCUGCUGCGGUACGGAAAGAGAAGAGGGACAAAAUACUACAUCUGCAAUACCAUUAAUAGCCACAGGAGGGGAGCCUUCGAACACCAACAAAUACAAACAAAUCCCUUAUUUUAUGAAAUUCACACAUCUUUACUCUUUAAAUUAAAUGUUCUAUUUUACCCCGUUACUCACACUAGGCAAUCCGUGACCAAGCACGUUUGACCCCCAAAGCCCGGUUCGUUUGAUUAGUGUUUGAGUAGUGAUCGCU
Onychostoma macrolepis is the source of this 4021-nucleotide long non-coding RNA. RefSeq lists it as uncharacterized. Lineage: Eukaryota; Metazoa; Chordata; Actinopteri; Cypriniformes; Cyprinidae. The transcript has 3 exons. The record is from RefSeq and is a predicted model, not a curated record.